Molecule: long non-coding RNA, 1688 nt
Filed under: Lactuca sativa (garden lettuce)
Lineage: Eukaryota; Viridiplantae; Streptophyta; Magnoliopsida; Asterales; Asteraceae
Description: long non-coding RNA (LSAT_LNC008221)
Source: RNAcentral
AAGGCAUGUCCGAGGAUCCACCACCACCUCCCCCACCGCCACCGCCAGUUGCCGCCAGUUUAUCGGCGGGAGAUUUGGCGGCAGGUUCACCGGAAUUAUUAUUAUUAUUAUUAACUUUCGGUUGUUGUGGAGAUUUUAAAGGGGAAGGUUGAGAGGUGGAAGUAGAACGUCUGUUUCCUAAAUGAGAAACAUCAGACAUCAUUGAUUUACUUGGCCAUGAGCCACCUCGACUUGUACUAGAUUUUGUUUCAAUCAUUGUCAUUUCAGCUUCCACACGUCUCUUCCAUGUGCUGACUAGACUUCUUGCUUUCUUCUGAAUCUCUGAAUUUUUAUGGCUUCUUAAAUGAUUCACAGAUUUCCCAACAUUACAAGUCUGUAAAGCAUGAAGAUUCACAGGUAACCUAUCAAGGGCACGAAGUAGAGAAAAAAGAAAAUCUUCAACAGAUUUAUCGUUUUCUUUUGGACUCCCAUUCCCAUCGCCGAUUUUACCCUUGUGGAUUUCUUGAAGCCAUUCAUCCAAAACUGACAAACCCCUUAAUUGAACAAACCGAGUUAAAUAAUCAAAUCUUUCAGUAACUGAUAUGACAUCAACAAGCAUUGUUCGGGAAGAUAAGUCGAGUUUUUUGUCGGUGUUUUCGGGUCUCAUGAGUUGGAUUAGUUUUUCAACUCCUUGGAAAUCCAUCAAUCCUCCUUUAUCAGUGAUUUUGGAAAUUUCGGUUUUUAUUAUGUGUUCAGGUCUAAGUUGACCAGAAUNAAGAAUCUUCAGGUAAAGGAGGGGAACAUGCCACGUCAGAUCUUGAGAUUUCACCAGCUGCCACGCUGGCAAGAAGAUUCAUUCCACCAUCAUCACCCAUUGAAGGUGACACUGAGACACUAGCUUCAGAAAACUUAGCACAGCUUUCUACUAACGCGUUUAUAGAGCUAUAAGAAGGUUCAUAUAAUUUCCCUGGUUUUGGAGUGACCCCAGAUGAAGAACCACCAUGUUCAUCAGGUAACACAACAGUCACAGUUGCUGACUUGGCAUCAUCACAGCCCUCCAUUCCAUCUUUCCCAUCUGUAUCCAUUUUUUCCACAUUGCUCUGUAAAGAAUCGUUUACAGUUUUUCCACUUGUCUUUUGAUCUUGCUUCUCAGAAGGUGCCACAACACUUUGGUUGUUUCCAUUAUCUACAAUGGACACAUCAGACACAUGUCCAGCUCCUUUCUCAUUACCAAAAUUCCGGAUUUUUCCAAGAUUACCCUUUUCAUUUCCUGGAGUUGUGGAGCCAUGGAAACCAUUGCUUGAGUUCCUGCUAUUGUAAACACUACCAGUCUUCCCAUGAUCACUAGAGCAAGAUUGACUGUUGUUUGGAGAAUGAGUGGUGCUUGAACUCCUACCUUCUUUAGUUCCAGAUGAAGGCAUGUCCGAGGAUCCACCACCACCUCCACCACCGCCACCGCCAGUUGCCGCCAGUUUAUCGGCGGGAGAUUUGGCGGCAGGUUCACCGGAAUUAUUAUUAUUAUUAUUAACUUUCGGUUGUUGUGGAGAUUUUAAAGGGGAAGGUUGAGAGGUGGAAGUAGAACGUCUGUUUCCUAAAUGAGAAACAUCAGACAUCAUUGAUUUACUUGGCCAUGAGCCACCUCGACUUGUACUAGAUUUUGUUUCAAUCAUUGUCAUUUCAGCUUCCACACGUCUCUUCCAUGUGCUGAC